CUAUAACAAAUACAAAUGAUAAUUUAAUUUUACCUUCUAAUUCUCAAAUAGAAGAAGAAGAAGAUAAUAUUAGUACAAAUUCAACAACACUGAUAGGUAUGAAAACAGUUCAAAUACCUAUUUUCCCUACUGAACCUAGCAGAAAUUCUAGAAAUACUAGAAUGGAAGAAAUACAAUCUACUACUAUUAUUCAACAAAUGAAAAUAGGAAAAAAUGAUAUUAUUACAUUUUCAAAUUUCCAACCUAGGAAAUAUUAUACAUAUAUAGAAAUUACACUUCAAUUUAGAGACUAUAAAACAUAUUCUUUGCAUGCUUUAUUAGAUACUGGAGCUACCACAAGUAGUUGUAGAGAAAAUGUCAUUCCUGUAGAAAAAUGGGAAUUAAUGAAAAAUCCAAUUAGAGCUAUAGGAAUUGAUGGUAAAGAAACCAUAAUUCAAUUUAAGGCUAGAAAUAUACCAAUUUACAUAAAUAAUGUAAGAUUUGUAAUUCCUAAAAUAUUGUGUUUUCCUGAAAUGCAUGGAGACAUAUUAUUAGGAAAUAAUUUUAUAUAUCAUCAUCUACCGUUUUCUAUAGAUAGAAAUUUAGUAAUAUUAUCAACAGAAAAAACUUCUGUAGAAAUACCUUUAAUAGAAAACCAUAAAUUUGUAUGUGAUAAAGGAUUUAGACCAAUAAGAAAAGAACAAAUUAAACAACUAGAAACAAAUCAUUGGUUGUUUAAAAUUCUAGAAAAUAAUUUUAGUGAAGAACCAUUAAAAUUAUGGGAAAAUAGUCCAAGAUAUUGUGAAAUAAAAUUAAAGAAUCCUAAUAAAAUAAUUAGAAUCAAACCUAUGAUCUAUACUAAACAAGAUAUAGAUGAAUUUGAUAUACAAAUCAAAGAAUUAUUGGAAAAAGGAUUAAUAGAAAAAACUAAUAGUCCACACUCAAGUCCAGCUUUUAUGGUAAGAAACCAUGCUGAAAUAAAAAGAGGAAAAACUAGAAUGGUAAUUAAUUAUAAAAGACUAAACCAAAAUACUAUUUUUGAUGGAUACUUUAUUCCACGGAAAGAUGUUUUAAUAAAUCAAGCUAAACAAGCAAAAUAUUUCAGUAAAUUUGAUUGUAAAUCAGGAUUUUGGCAAAUAAUGCUAACUGAUGAAUCUAAACCAUUAACAGCCUUUAGUGCACCUAAUGGUCAUUAUCAAUGGAGAGUAAUGCCAUUUGGAUAAUGUAAUGCACCUCAAAUCUUCCAAAGAUGGAUGGAUUCUAUAUUUAAUAAAUAUAAAAAUUUUUGUGUAGUUUAUAUAGACGAUAUAUUAAUAUUUUGAGAAACACUGGAAAAACAUAGAAAACAUUUAAAUAUCAUCUCCCAAGAAUUCAUAAAACAUGGAAUUAUUUUGAGCCCUAAGAAAAUAGAAUUAGAAAAAACAAAAAUAGAAUUUUUAGGUUUAAAUUUAUCGGCUGAUGGUCUUAAACUACAAGAUCAUAUUAUAGUAAAAAUAAAAGAAUUUCCAGAAGAAAUUAAAAACCAAAAACAACUUCAACAAUUUUUAGGUAUAAUUAAUUAUGGAAGAAACUUCUUUCCUAACUUAUCUGAAAAAAUAGGAGACUUAUAUAAAAUAUUAAAAAAGGAUAAAACUUUUAGCUAGUCUAAAGAAGACUCAGAAAUUAUUAAAAAUAUAAAAUCAGAAAUAAAUUAUACCCCAAAAGUCUAUUUACCAAAACAAGGUGAUAGAUUAAUUUUAGAAACCGAUGCAUCAGAAAAAUAUUGGGGAUGUAUUUUAAAAGCUAAAACAGCAAAAACGAAGAACUAAUAUGUGGAUAUAGUUCUGAAACACUUAAAUCAAAUGAAGUUAAUUAUGCUAUAUAUGAAAAAGAAUUAUUAGCUAUUAAAAAGGCAAUAAAAACCUUUCUCAUAUAUUUAGCAUCUGAAAAUUUUAUUAUAAAAACUGACAACCAGGCAGUCAAACAAUUUCUGACUAAUAAUAGUCUAGAAAGUGUACCAAGAAGAAUUAGAUGGUAUAAUGAUUUAUGUAGUUUCAAUUUUGAAGUUUUAUAUGUCAAAUGUACUAAUAAUAUUAUUGCUGAUUAUCUUAGCAGGCCUUAUGGAUAGAGGUAAAAAAACCUCUAGAACAAGUCGAGGAAUGGACUACUGUCCAUAAAAAACCCAACAAAGGAAAGCAGAUAAAUCCUAAUCAAGGAUUUACUCCCAAUCAGGGAUUUACUCCUAUAUUAACAGGAUUCUAUCCUAAUCAAGGAUAUUAUGUUCAUUAUCCAAUGGUAAGACAACCAACUGGAUCUCCUUCAUCAUAUGCAUCAAGAAUGGUAAACGAAUACCCUUCAAAAAGAAUAAUUCAAUCUCCUUAGUCUCAAGAUCCGAAUUCAGCAUAUCAAGCCAGUUAUUCUGAAGUUAUAAAAGGAGCAGAAAAUUUGUUGAAACAACAACAAAUUCCAGAAAUAAAAGAUUUCUAUAAUCCAGGAUUACCAAAUGAAAUUUAUAAAUAUAUUAAUGAAAUAUGGAAAACCCAUAUUUUAGAACAAAGAGCAAACUUUAGACGAACCCUUACAAAGUUUUCACAAUUUCUAGUUGAAAAACAACUAAAGAAAAUGAAGCACAUGAAUUAUUAUUAAAAGCUGUUUUAUACAGAGAUUGGCAAGAACUCGAAAUAGAGUAUACAAAUAUCAAUGAGAUAAAUAAUCUUAUUGAUAUAUUUCAAUACUUUAUUCAUAAAGGAACAAAUAGUCCCAUUAUGAAUAAAAUGUUUAGAAUAUGUUUAUAUAAUAAAGCUAGGAAAAUGCUAACAGCAGAAAUUUUUGAAAAAAUCAAUAAAAUUAUCUGCAACCAGCAGACUCAAUAUAAAAAAGUCUUUUCUGAAUACUUUUUACAAUCAUAUGUUUAUCUAAAUGAUAUAGGGGAAGAAAUUCCUACUAUAAAAUUCAGAUUAGAUCAUGAACCAUUUGAUAUAAACAGUAUUGAAUGGGGUUUCGUUAAGGAAAUUGUAGUACAAAACUUUUCUUUUCACUUAUUAAAAGAUUUUCCUGCUAUUAUAAAAGCUAUAUUAUCACUUUUAGUAUAUCAAGAUGAUUUUUAUUACUAUUUUUAUAUCCAAAUAAGUAGUCUUAUUGGAAUUGCUGAAAAAGAGCGAUUCUAUCAACCAUAUCAAAUAUGGAUUAUUCAACGAAUGUUUGAUAGUCCUUAUUUCUCAGCAGCCAAAGAAGAUAAAAAACACUUGACCAAAACCAUUGACAAGUGUUACAAUAAUCCAAAAUAUUUUCAAAUCCAAGCCGGAAUUGAUUUAAUGUCAACAGCACGACAUGUACUUCAAGAUCAAACGUACAAACUAUCUACCGAUGGAAAAAGAAUAGUAGCUGAUAAAAAUAGCAUAAUUCAAAAAUCAAGAGAUGAAGAAUCCAUACAACUGCUAAAGAAAAUAGCAGAUAUGGAAAUAGACGAUUUCCCUUCAGAAAUAAUUGAAGAAAUCAGGAACACGUGGGAGACUUGGAAUUCACCAAGACUAUCACCAGAAUCUUUACACCUGGAUGAAAUAGAAACAUGGAACCUGGACAACAUCCAAGAAGGAUAAAGACAAAGACCACGUGGAAAGUCAAGAAGACUUUCAAGCUGAUUUUCAAGAUUGGCGGUAAACAAAAAUUCAAGGCAUCCAUGUACAAACAAGAUAUGAAAAAGACAACUGACAACAUACGUGGAGGCAACAAUAAAUUCAUCCUUAUCAGAAACACUGUGCGGGAUUGAAGAAAAAUUAAAUAGAGUUUAGAAAUUUUACUAUAAAUAGCAAUGUAAAGAGCCUAAACGAGGCAUCGAAAAAUGGUUUAGAAAUCUUUCUUUUUUACUUUAAGUAUCCUCUCUAUAAACAACCUUUCCUUGUAAAAAAAAUCUUUCCUUUACUUUUAAUAAAAUAUAGAUCUUCCGCAACCUAUUUAGCAAGUAAUUGCUAAAUAUUCUUAAGACGUUGGAAAGAAUCAGAAGUAGGAAAAGUUCAAAAAGGACAACUAAUUAAUGAAAUAGGUACUCCUAAAGAUCUUUUAAAAGGAUUAACAAAUAUUUUAAAAACAGAAUUUUGUGGUUAUUUUGAUAAAAAAGAUCAAGAUAGUAUAGCUAGUUAUACCUUAUCAAAAAUUAAAUUAUGUGAUAUUAGAUAUCUAGAAGAAUUUUCUAAAAAAUUUCUUCAUGAAUAUCAAAAAUUAAAAAAUGAAAAUAUAGAAUUUUGGAAAAACCAAUAUUUUCAUAAACUACCCCCACCAUGGGAUGAGAUAUGUAUAAAAAAAUAUGUGUCUUAUUUAGAUAAACAUAGUAAAGAAUCAGGGAUAGCAAAAGAAAAUAUAGAUUCUAUAGGAAAUAGAAUUAAUUUUGCAAGAGAAAGAAUAACUCUACAUUGUCUACAAACUAAAGCGGCUAAACAAGUAAAAAAUAAAUUAACUUAUAGUCAUUGUACAAAAAUUCUAGAAAAUGAAUGGGAAUUUGGAUGUAAAACAACACGUCCUAAUACAUAUAAAAAACAUAGAAAGAAAAAUAGAAAAUAUAAAUUUAUUGAUGGAAACCAGGAAAUAAAAAAUAUACUGGUAAUAAUAAGAAAAAGAAAAAAUUUGUUAGAAGAAAAACUUCUAAAAAAUCUAAAAAACAGAUAUGUAAAUGUUUUAUUUGUGAUGAAGAAGGCCAUAUAGCACCAAACUGUCCUAAUAAAGGAAAAAGUGCUAAAAAGAUGAUUAAAAGUCUUGAAGAACAAGAUUUAGAAAUUUGUUAUGAAGAGGAAAUAAAUCCUGAAGAAAUAUUAUAUGAGUUAAUAUCAGAAACAGAUUCUGAUUUAGAUGAAGAAGAAUAUAUAUUUAUGUUUAAUGUAGGAAGUAGUUCUAAAAAUCAAUUAGAAGAAAUUCCUAAGUUUGAACAACAAGACAUAAAAUUAGGAAAUUUGAUUGGAGAAGAAAAAGACUUUUCUGAUGAAAUGAUAGAAAAAAUAAAUCACAUUUCUAAAGAAGAAAUAUAUAAAAUAUCUAAGUAUAAAAUAUGGAGUCAAAGACAUAUAGAAAAAAUUAGUGGCAACACAGUUGCUAAGGAUACUAGAGGAGGAUUAACAGAAAUUCCAUUAUUUACUAAAGAAAAAAAUUAAGAGGAUUAAAAAGAAAUACCCUCAAGUUAGAUAUAUACAUUUAGGUAUAAUUAUGAUAACAAUUAGAGCUUUAUUUAGAAAAGGACAUGAUAUACCCAUAAUAGCGGUUUUAUUAGAUAAAAGAUUUGAAAACCCGAUAAAAGCACUUAUUGGUGGUAUUCAGUCUAAUUUACACACUGGAGUAAUAGGAUUUAAAGUUAAACCAAACUAUUUUAUAUCUAUUACAGAUCCCCUAAUAGAAGAAUUCUUAUGUUUAAGAAUUCAGACAAAAAAUUCUGAAAUUAGCGAUUUAGCAGAAGAUUUAGCAAUAAGUUGGACUUCUAUUAAUGAAUAUACCAACACGGCAGAAGUAGAAAUUAAAGAAAUCAAUAAUAAAAUAAUUGAGUUAUUUGAACCCAAUAAAUUUACUACAGAAAUACAACCAAAAUUAUUACAUUUAAAAGAUCUGUCAAUUCCAAAAGAUUGGAUGAUUGAUAGAAUAAGUAGUGCUAGUACUUCAAAACCGGUAAGUACUAUAGAAUAUAUGUCAUCAGGAGAUAGACUAUAUUUUAAAAAUAAUGCUAUAACAAAUACAAAUGAUAAUUUAAUUUUACCUUCUAAUUCUCAAAUAGAAGAAGAAGAAGAUAAUAUUAGUACAAAUUCAACAACACCGAUAGGUAUGAAAACAGUUCAAAUACCUAUUUUCCCUACUGAACCUAGCAGAAAUUCUAGAAAUACUAGAAUGGAAGAAAUACAAUCUACUACUAUUAUUCAACAAAUGAAAAUAGGAAAAAAUGAUAUUAUUACAUUUUCAA
This 5893-nucleotide long non-coding RNA is filed under the name Gossypium barbadense (sea-island cotton). RNAcentral's name for it is "long non-coding RNA (GBAR_LNC011637)". Lineage: Eukaryota; Viridiplantae; Streptophyta; Magnoliopsida; Malvales; Malvaceae. The record is from RNAcentral.